RNAcentral lists this small RNA (37 nucleotides) under Sinorhizobium meliloti 2011. RNAcentral's name for it is "putative ncRNA". Lineage: Bacteria; Pseudomonadati; Pseudomonadota; Alphaproteobacteria; Hyphomicrobiales; Rhizobiaceae. The record is from RNAcentral.
CGUCGGAAAUGUUGACGCGGUAAGAUUUCAUGCCGAG